Non-coding RNA from Physcomitrium patens, 1265 nucleotides. The record is from RefSeq and is a predicted model, not a curated record. NCBI's taxonomy places the organism in Eukaryota, Viridiplantae, Streptophyta, Bryopsida, Funariales, Funariaceae.
CCGGUUCUGUCCACCCACGUAUGCAGCCACAGCGUUGCGGCAGCUCUCCGCCUUGUAACCGAUAUGCCUCAAAAGGAAGUGGCUUGGUAGAGCCGCCCACGACGAUGGAGCCCUUGCUUGUUGCUUCAAGCCGAUCGGGCGCGAGCUGGGGGAACAGACUCCGGGAAUAGACUGGCUCAGUGAGCUGUGGCGUCGACGUGGGAGCUGUUGUCAGAUUCGAGGAAUGUGACACGUUGCAGAUGUGACUCACUUUUGAGAAAUGGGCGAAUCCAAAAGAAAAGAAUCCAGUUCCCAAAUGUGUCAUGUUGGUGUUCCCUAUGAUGGAGGUUGGAGUGUGCAAUGAAAUCUGACACAUGUAGCAGCUUUGGUCGACAAAGCCCCAAAUUCUCUUGAAGGAAUGGGCGGAAAGGACUCUCUCGUUUCGGAUGAGGAAGGAUAGGCCGUAAGCGACGAUGCGAUAUUAUUGGAGGGUAGAUGCAUCCGCUGGACUGGAACAAGAGAAAAAAAGUUAUUUUAAUAAAAAAAUGCUUCUGGAAUCUCGAGUGCCGUUGGUCAAUGAGCCCAUCUCCCUAGAAUGAAACGUGCAAAGAAUAGUAGCUGAUAUCGAUCAGUCAAACCUGGUGUCAUCUAGGUAUGGUCUCGUCGAGGUGUUCUCUAGCAUCUUGAACUGGGAACAGGGAGAAAACCUAGAUCGAACAAGCCAAGAUCCUGAGCUUUCCGGAAACAACCAGUAGCUUCAUUCAUAGUCUCGGUUACUCCCCUCUCACUGCAUUUCUUUGUGCGUUCAUUUGAGAGCCAAGUAUUAAUUUUUGGACCGGUACUUUUGAUUGUUUAGGUCUGCCAAUUUUACGCUGAUGGCCAGCUUUACCCGUUCAUCGAUCUCAAAGAUAGGAUAACCCACAGAUGCCGGGUGCUUGCGUGGUGUCCACAACAGUUGGUUGUCAUUGUACCUCUCAGAGAAUAAUACUCUUCCAACGUAUGUUGGAAAGACCGCUUCGCUAGUACAGUAAGUUCUGUCGAACAGCAGUAACUAGAUUUGCCAAGGGUGGAGUAGUGUACCGAUGAGAUCGUGAAUCUCGAUUGUUCAGAUAUGCUCAUAAAACCUGGAGCGUGAGGGGAGCACCGUUGGCAGAGUACUUGUUGUGUGGGCCCGUCUUGUGUCAGCUCCGUACUUGAUAGAAUACACUACAAUACUGACCGGCGCUUUCUAAGACACCUUAUACUGAAUUUCUGACACUGAGGAAUGGAGAACUUUUGAGAUCGAA